AUUGAACGCUGGCGGCAUGCUUUACACAUGCAAGUCGAACGGCAGCGCGGGCUUCGGCCUGGCGGCGAGUGGCGAACGGGUGAGUAAUUCAUCGGAACGUGCCCAGCCGUGGGGGCUAGCUCGGCGAAAGCCGGAUUAAUACCGCAUACGACCUGAGGGUGAAAGCGGGGGAUCUUCGGACCUCGCCCUAUUUGAUCUGCCGAUGGCAGAUUAGCUAGUUGGUGGGGUAAAGGCCUACCAAGGCGACGAUCUGUAGCUGGUCUGAGAGGACGACCAGCCACACUGGGACUGAGACACGGCCCAGACUCCUACGGGAGGCAGCAGUGGGGAAUUUUGGACAAUGGGCGAAAGCCUGAUCCAGCAAUGCCGCGUGUGUGAUGAAGGCCUUCGGGUUGUAAAGCACUUUUGGCGGGAACGAAAAGGACUGUGCCAAUACCACGGUUCGAUGACGGUACCCGCAGAAUAAGCACCGGCUAACUACGUG
This 484-nucleotide ribosomal RNA is filed under the name uncultured bacterium. RNAcentral's name for it is "partial 16S ribosomal RNA". It matches the Rfam family "Bacterial small subunit ribosomal RNA", at positions 30 to 507 of the family's 1533-position model. The record is from RNAcentral.